RNAcentral lists this transfer RNA (66 nucleotides) under Neurigona zhejiangensis. RNAcentral describes it as "tRNA-Leu". Lineage: Eukaryota; Metazoa; Arthropoda; Insecta; Diptera; Dolichopodidae. RNAcentral also lists the same sequence under 1 other name. The record is from RNAcentral.
UCUAAUAUGGCAGAUUAGUGCAAUGGAUUUAAGCUCCAUAUAUAAAGUAUAUUACUUUUAUUAGAA